Non-coding RNA from Cherax quadricarinatus, 1106 nucleotides. NCBI's taxonomy places the organism in Eukaryota, Metazoa, Arthropoda, Malacostraca, Decapoda, Parastacidae. The record is from RefSeq and is a predicted model, not a curated record.
CUGACAUUUAUUAAAAUAUUUUGACCUUUAUUAAAACGUCCUGACCUUUAUUAUAACAUCCUGACCUUGAUUAUAACAUCCUGACCUUUAUUAUAACAUUCUGACCUUUAUUAAAACAUCCUGACCUUUAUUAUAACAUUCUGACCUUUAUUGAAACAUCCUGAUCUUUAUUAUAACAUCCUGACCUUUAUUAUAACAUCCUGACCUUUAUUAAAAUAGUCUGACCUUAAUUAAAAUAUGCUAACCUUUAUUACAACAUCCUGACCUUUAUUAUAAUACAUUAAUACAUUAUAAUACAUUACAAUUUUUCACUUUUUUCCUCCGCUGCUUCAUAUCUUUUUAGAAUGUCCACAAACUUGUUUUCUUUAAAUUUUCUAUUUUUAUAAUGGAUAUAUUCUUUUUAUUGACUUUAUUAUACACAAAACCAUAGCUGUUUAAAAGACUUUAUUUAAUUCAUACUUUCCCUCUUGAUUUAUUAUAUAAAAUCAAGCCAUUUAACAUAUUUUCCGGAAUGUAAGGCGCGCUUUUCCACACAAAAAGUCUUGGAAAAUCCCCUUGCGUCUUAUAUGCUGGAAGUGAUGGUCAAGGUUAGACUCUCUGCGUCUUAUAUGCUGGAGGUGAUGGUCAAGGUUAGACUCUCUGCGUCUUAUAUGCUGGAGGUGAUGGUCAAGGUUAGACUCUCUGCGUCUUAUAUGCUGGAGGUGAUGGUCAAGGUUAGACUCUCUGCGUCUUAUAUGCUGGAAGUGAUGGUCAAGGUUAAACUCUCUGCGUCUUAUAUGCUGGAGGUGAUGGUCAAGGCUAAACUCUCUGCGUCUUAUAUGCUGGAGGUGAUGGCCAAUGUUAAACUUCUCUGCGUCUUAUAUGCUGGAGGUGAUGGUCAAUGCUAAACUCUCUGCGUCUUAUAUGCAGGAGGUGAUGGUCAAGGUUAAACUCCCUGUGUCUUAUAUGCCGGAGGUGAUGGUCAAUGUUAAACUUUCUGCGUCGUAUAUGCUGGAGGUGAUGGUCAAUGUUAAACUCUCUGCGUCUUAUAUGCUGGAGGGGAUGGUCAAUGUUAAACUCUCUGCGUCUUAUAUGCUGGAGUUGAUGGUCAAUGUUAUACCCUGUGU